Long non-coding RNA from Protobothrops mucrosquamatus (brown spotted pit viper), 119 nucleotides. RefSeq lists it as uncharacterized. The transcript has 4 exons. Lineage: Eukaryota; Metazoa; Chordata; Lepidosauria; Squamata; Viperidae. The record is from RefSeq and is a predicted model, not a curated record.
AGCCAAGAGAAAUGGCCAAAGUACCAGAGAAAGCUGUGCAUGUAAACAAAACUAAAUCUCACAAGAAAGAAAAGCCAUUAGAAACAGCCAGGCUACUGAUGAAGGAUAUCCAUGUAAAA